This 501-nucleotide ribosomal RNA is filed under the name uncultured bacterium. RNAcentral describes it as "partial 16S ribosomal RNA". It matches the Rfam family "Bacterial small subunit ribosomal RNA", at positions 30 to 523 of the family's 1533-position model. The record is from RNAcentral.
AUUGAACGCUGGCGGCAGGCUUAACACAUGCAAGUCGAGCGGGGGAAGGUAGCUUGCUACUGGACCUAGCGGCGGACGGGUGAGUAAUGCUUAGGAAUCUGCCUAUUAGUGGGGGACAACAUCUCGAAAGGGAUGCUAAUACCGCAUACGUCCUACGGGAGAAAGCAGGGGAUCUUCGGACCUUGCGCUAAUAGAUGAGCAUAAUUCGGAUUAGCUAGUUGGUGGGGUAAAGGCCUACCAAGGCGACGAUCUGUAGCGGGUCUGAGAGGAUGAUCCGCCACACUGGGACUGAGACACGGCCCAGACUCCUACGGGAGGCAGCAGUGGGGAAUAUUGGACAAUGGGGGGAACCCUGAUCCAGCCAUGCCGCGUGUGUGAAGAAGGCCUUAUGGUUGUAAAGCACUUUAAGCGAGGAGGAGGCUACUUUAGUUAAUACCUAGAGAUAGUGGACGUUACUCGCAGAAUAAGCACCGGCUAACUCUGUGCCAGCCGCCGCGGUAA